Molecule: unclassified non-coding RNA, 276 nt
Filed under: Hevea brasiliensis (rubber tree)
Lineage: Eukaryota; Viridiplantae; Streptophyta; Magnoliopsida; Malpighiales; Euphorbiaceae
Source: RNAcentral
GGACUACUCAUUCCAAUAUGAGAUUCAUAUAUUCUCAGCGACUUUGGUUUCUUUGGCCGUGGGUGUUGGAAGAUAUACCUCUCCUCUUCGGGUGGAUCAUAAUAUAUUCCAUUAUAUGGGAUUUCAUCAGGAAGCUGUAAAGAGUAGUUGAUCCAAGCAGGAAUGGAAUCCUUAACACCUGAUGGAGUGUCCAUACGUAUCUUCACUCUGGACCCAUGAGGAAUUGCAGGAGAACCAUCCACAUUAUUUGGCAGAAAAAUCUCCCAGACACCAAAU